This 468-nucleotide ribosomal RNA is filed under the name uncultured bacterium. RNAcentral's name for it is "partial 16S ribosomal RNA". It matches the Rfam family "Bacterial small subunit ribosomal RNA", at positions 28 to 507 of the family's 1533-position model. The record is from RNAcentral.
GACGAACGCUGGCGGCGUGCUUAACACAUGCAAGUCGAACGGAAAGGCCCUGCUUUUGUGGGGUGCUCGAGUGGCGAACGGGUGAGUAACACGUGAGUAACCUGCCCUUGACUUUGGGAUAACUUCAGGAAACUGGGGCUAAUACCGGAUAGGAGCUACUGCUGCAUGGUGGGGGUUGGAAAGUUUCGGCGGUUGGGGAUGGACUCGCGGCUUAUGCGCUUGUUGGUGGGGUAGUGGCGUACCAAGGCUUUGACGGGUAGCCGGCCUGAGAGGGUGAACGGCCACAUUGGGACUGAGAUACGGCCCAGACUCCUACGGGAGGCAGCAGUGGGGAAUAUUGCACAAUGGGCGGAAGCCUGAUGCAGCAACGCCGCGUGCGGGAUGACGGCCUUCGGGUUGUAAACCGCUUUCGCCUGUGACGAAGCGUGAGUGACGGUAAUGGGUAAAGAAGCACCGGCUAACUACGUG